This 545-nucleotide ribosomal RNA is filed under the name uncultured bacterium. Its description in RNAcentral is "bacterial SSU rRNA". It matches the Rfam family "Bacterial small subunit ribosomal RNA", at positions 777 to 1319 of the family's 1533-position model. The record is from RNAcentral.
AAUAGAUACCCCGGUAGUCCACGCCGUAAACGAUGAGUGCUAGGUGUUAGGGGGGUCCAACCCCUUAGUGCUGAAGUUAACACAUUAAGCACUCCGCCUGGGGAGUACGACCGCAAGGUUGAAACUCAAAGGAAUUGACGGGGGCCCGCACAAGCAGUGGAGCAUGUGGUUUAAUUCGAAGCAACGCGAAGAACCUUACCAGGUCUUGACAUCCUCUGACAACCCUAAAGAUAGGGCGUUCCCCUUCGGGGGACAGAGUGACAGGUGGUGCAUGGUUGUCGUCAGCUCGUGUCGUGAGAUGUUGGGUUAAGUCCCGCAACGAGCGCAACCCUUGAUGUUAGUUGCCAGCAUUCAGUUGGGCACUCUAACGUGACUGCCGGUGACAAACCGGAGGAAGGUGGGGAUGACGUCAAAUCAUCAUGCCCCUUAUGACCUGGGCUACACACGUGCUACAAUGGAUGGUACAAAGGGUUGCAAGACCGCGAGGUCAAGCCAAUCCCGAUAAAACCAUUCUCAGUUCGGAUUGUAGGCUGCAACUCGCCUAC